CGUCCUCGCCCUCACGCAGACAACAGGCGUUUUGUCUGAGUCCUCUUUUGUUAGCGGCUUCUUUGUUUUGCCUUUUGUGUUCAUUAUUCAUUUCUGCUCUGAUUGCUUUGUCUCCUGUCAGCAGAGAACAGCAGGACUGCAGAUACAGCACGUCUGGGUAGACAGAACCGAGGACCCUGAGGUUCUCAAGGUGCUUCACAGUGGAACCCGUUUGACACAGAGGGAGGCUGAAGACGAGGAUCUAGUGGCCCGUUUAAACGGCCUGUGAUUUCUACGUCCUACGUUCCAUCAGGUGUCCAGGUUAUGCCUCAUCUCUGUGAAUCUGUCCACAUGAACGUGGUGGACGUCACUGGACCUGGGAGCAGAACACUGAGGUUUAGUAUCUGGAUGUGCAGAGCAAAGUCAAACGAUGAAAUGGGAGCUGAGACGACGCCUGAGGACCAGCGUUUUUCUCCUGGCACACGUCUUUCCUCAAGGCUGCAGGAACAGGGCUUUAAAGGUGAACAGAGACG
Betta splendens (Siamese fighting fish) is the source of this 512-nucleotide long non-coding RNA. RefSeq lists it as uncharacterized. The record is from RefSeq and is a predicted model, not a curated record. NCBI's taxonomy places the organism in Eukaryota, Metazoa, Chordata, Actinopteri, Anabantiformes, Osphronemidae. The transcript has 3 exons.